This 310-nucleotide ribosomal RNA is filed under the name marine bacterium SIMO-IS131. RNAcentral's name for it is "bacterial SSU rRNA". It matches the Rfam family "Bacterial small subunit ribosomal RNA", at positions 42 to 340 of the family's 1533-position model. Lineage: Bacteria; Bacillati; Bacillota. The record is from RNAcentral.
GCGUGCCUAAUACAUGCAAGUCGAGCGAAUGGAUUGAGAGCUUGCUCUCAAGAAGUUAGCGGCGGACGGGUGAGUAACACGUGGGUAACCUGCCCAUAAGACUGGGAUAACUCCGGGAAACCGGGGCUAAUACCGGAUAACAUUUUGAACUGCAUGGUUCGAAAUUGAAAGGCGGCUUCGGCUGUCACUUAUGGAUGGACCCGCGUCGCAUUAGCUAGUUGGUGAGGUAACGGCUCACCAAGGCAACGAUGCGUAGCCGACCUGAGAGGGUGAUCGGCCACACUGGGACUGAGACACGGCCCAGACUCCU